Molecule: non-coding RNA, 93 nt
Filed under: Natranaerobius thermophilus
Lineage: Bacteria; Bacillati; Bacillota; Clostridia; Natranaerobiales; Natranaerobiaceae
Also listed under: 1 other name
Description: c-di-GMP sequence
Rfam family: c-di-GMP-I-GGC riboswitch aptamer
Source: RNAcentral
CUUGAAAAUGGCAAACCUGCCGUGAGGUGGGGGCGCAAAGCCACGAGUCUUUUGUUGACAAAACGUCAAUAAAAGACAGUCGGGUUGCCAAGG